AAUAAUCUAGUUAAUUUAUAACAUAAGAAUGUCAAUCUUAAAUUACUUUAAGUGUUUAUUA
RNAcentral lists this transfer RNA (61 nucleotides) under Ixodes barkeri. RNAcentral's name for it is "tRNA-Asp". Lineage: Eukaryota; Metazoa; Arthropoda; Arachnida; Ixodida; Ixodidae. The record is from RNAcentral.